Molecule: RNA transcript, 4001 nt
Organism: Oryzias melastigma (Indian medaka)
Lineage: Eukaryota; Metazoa; Chordata; Actinopteri; Beloniformes; Adrianichthyidae
Exons: 16
Source: RefSeq, a predicted model, not a curated record
UAUGUUUGACAUCCCUGGUUUAAACAUUUCCGUUGUUAAGUGUUUAAAAAGAGGAAAAUAAAACUCAGUAUAAUUAAUAACGAGUCCCUGGAAAAACAGUAUUGCUUAAAUAAGCAUGAAUUGGGAAACUCCAGACAAUCGACUCAAAAUCCUCUCCCGACGUAAAUAACAUUUCCUCUGGAUUAAUCAGCCUCCUCUCUACAUGAUCCUCUAUGAAUGAACAUGUCAUUUUGGUUUCUGCGUGGUGAAAACGUGACGUCUCUAAUGAGAAUGUUCUCUAAAUUUUAAUGAGGAACUCAUAUUUGAACAUCUUUCACUUUAAGAAGGGGCGGAGACUGCAGGAACUCAAAUAUGGGGUAAGAUAACUGUCAAAAGGAAACGUAUUCAUAAAUACCUAUUUUGUAUUCACAAAAAGAAAUUCAUAUUCAUAAAUACCUAUUUUGUAUAAACAAAAAGAAAUUCAUAUUCAUAAAUACAAAGUUGUGCAAAAUUUUAUAUUUUGUGCCAAACUUACUUUAAAAAAAUGAAUACAACAUUUAUUUUUACGUUUAACAUGUCUCUUGUGAAUACGAAUUUUCCUCGUUUUGAAUACGACUUCUCUCUGUCUUGGAUACGGAUUUCUCCUGUUACCUAACUGUCAAAACUACGUCACGGGGUCACAGGCUUAUGCAUCGAGUGCCGGAACAUCGAGCCGCCGAGCCAGCAAACGACGCAUGCGCACUGCAGCUUAGCGCUCAUUCUCUUUUUUAUGUGCAAAAAUGGCGGAAAAAGACGGCUCGGUCGUGGAGCGACAAAGCGAGUUAGCAGACAUAGUCAGUACGGCACACAAUUUAGUGUCUUUGCUAAGGAGCAGGUUAAGACAGGGAAAUCCAGUUGAGCCUGCUGAGGGACAGGGAGCCCAGGGAGAGACAUCCAGGCAGAUUGAGCCCGUUGGCCAUGGGCCUCGGGGCAUUUCACCAGGACAGUCGAUCCAUCAAGAGAUGGCUAGAUCUUUGCCUGGACUUUUCCGCAGAGAAGGAAAAGGCAAAAGACGGUUUGCACCAUAUGCAAACCGUCAAAAGAGUUUUUUUGUGACCUUCUUCCUUCUUGAUAAGCAGCGUUUUAAAACGCUGAAAGGAGAUGAGGAACUUGCCCUCACGCUGGCUGGUCUGGGAAAACGCUCUCUGACGGUGUCUGAAAGCACCACACAUUCUGAGUUGACAGAGCUGCUUAUAAAGGCAUAUCCGAAGCUUGGAAGUAUUUGUGGAGGCUGGUUGCUCCACAAGUCUACAGGUGGGGGUGGACAACGAAAACUAGUUGUCAUCCCUCCUGACUCGGAUGGGUACAAUGGGCAGCAGCUCAAGGGAGUGAGUGGUAGUGGGAAAUGUACUCUGUACAUUGCUCCUUUACAAGAGCAAAUUGACACCACUCCAUUACCACCAGAGGCAAAAGAAUUUGAAAGCAUGCCCAAAGCUCUGUGUACCACGUGUGGAAAGAUGAUUCCACUUCAGGUCCUUCCCCUCCACAUAAAGAACUGCAAGGAGGAAAAUCUGUGUUCUUCCUCAGAGGAAAGUAGAAAUCAGGAUCACAUAUUUCCAAGCUGCCAUGAGGAUGUGACAGAGACGACUGCUCAGUGUCCAGUUUGCAGUGGUUCCUUCAACAUUGACAUCAUUGAGAGUCAUGCAUCUGAAUGUGGUCUAAGAACAAGUCAUGCAGCCAGUGAAACCAGUUCAAAGAACUCGGACCUUUCUUUCAAAUGUAUGGAGGAAAUCCUCAGCUGGAUAGGUGAUCAAGUCAAGGAAGACGACACAUUCUCCAUCUGUGUGUCCAGAAGUGACCUUUUUGACAGAGGAAUGCAACAGUGGCAGCGCCAAAAAAAAUCCUCUCCAAAAAACAAACUCAAAGUGUCUUUCUUUGGGGAAACGGGUUUAGACACAAGGGUUCUCACCAAAGAAUUUCUUACAGAAAUGGUUGCCGAGAUUGAAAAAAGGCUUUUCAUGGGUGGCAUGGACAAAAAUGGAAAAAUCCUCGCUACUGCAUCAACCAUCUGGACCAAAACUACUUCAGGAGUGCUGGAGAAAUUCUAGCAGCUAGUGUUUCACAAGGAGGACCUCUUCCCAACUUCAUGAGAGAUUGGUGCUACAGAUACCUGUGCUCUGGGGACCCAGACACCAUUCAGGUGUCGAUCAGUGAUGUCACAGAUCCGGAGUUGUCGCAGCUCAUUAUGGAGGUAAAUGGAUCCACGGAUGAAAAUAUUAAAGACAAGACUGAUGACAUCAUUAGUUGUGGAUACGUUGGGACGGUCUCUGUGGACAAAAAGGACCUCAUAAUCAGAGCUAUUGUGCUGCACUCAACCAUGAGAGUCCUUCCCAUGCUUGAUCAGCUGAGAAAAGGCCUGCAUCUUUUCAACCUGGUGCAACUGAUGGAAAGAAAUCCAGAACUUUGUCAGCCCAUGUUCGUUCCUGGGAAUGUUGAUCGUGUUGAUGCAGCCUCUGUGCUGGAAAAGUGCCAACCGGACUUCUGUGACAAAAACUCUGUGAAGUUUGCUAGAGAAGUGCAUGUCAUGAACUUCUUCCAGGAUUUUUUACAAGAAAUUGAAGAUUGUGAAAUGGAUGGCCAGUCUGAUGAUGAUUCACAGCAGCUGUCACUUGCCAAAGUGAUGCAGUGGAUGACGGGACAGGGACACAAGCCUGUUCUACCCAGCGAGAAGAAAGACUUUGUCAUCUUUGUAAAAUUUCUUCACGGCUGUGGUGAAGAUCACACCACAUGUUAUCCCACUGUAAGUGCCUGUAGUCGAACAAUAACAUUUCCAGUUGCUCACUUAACCACUUACAAGGAAUUCAAGAACAUAAUGGAAACCGCAAUAUGCCACGGACAAGGCUUUUAUAGGAUUUAAAGUAGUUCCAAUGUUUAACCUAAGAUCUUCUUUUGUUCUUUCUUAAAAUACAUUUUACAUGCUUUUGGAAGGUAUUUACAUAUUUUAGUAAUGUAAUCCUUUACUUUAAUAAAAUGGGUGCAGUGAUCUUUAAGGAAGCCAUUUUGAUAAUUUUCUUGCGAAAACGAGAUGAUCAUUAGCAAAGAAUGAAGCGUCCCCCUCUCCCUUUCACACACAAAGAUGCAGAGACUCCUCAAAAGUUGUUUUUUAUUCUAAUUUUAUUAUUUUAUUAGUGGGUCUAUGCUCUUUAAAUGUGUUCACUCCGUUCCAUGCACCAGCCCUUGUCCCUUUAAUUCCCUCAAACCUUUGAGCAAACAGGCUGAUUGACAGAAUUUGAUGAGAAUCUGUUCAUGGUGUGUUCACUGAACUCCAGACAUUACCCAAACAGCCACUCAGCCCAUCUCAGUAGGCUAUUAUGCAUUUUUUUUUUUUUUACAAUCCACAGCAAAACAAAACAGUUUUUCAGUAAAAAUGUCCACCCUGUUAAAUCAAUAAUGAUAUAUGGAUCAGUACUGGUGUUUGACAUUUUCUAUGUUAAACUGCUUUACUUUGCAGCUGAUGUCUGGAGCUCCGUGAGUGCACCAUGCAGAAACACCUUGGGUUCUCAAUCAACCUGUUUGUUCAGGCUUUUUUUUUAAAAAACAGAGGGGGUUGUUGUUUGAGAUGGAAUAAGGAUGUUUAAAGAGCUUAGAUCUACUAACUAAUAAAAAUAGACUAAAAACAACUUUUCAAAAGUGUUUUCUUCUUCUGUUUUUGUUAAACACAAACUAAAAAGACUUAAACAGGUGAAGUCUCAGUGUCUCCAUUAGGGAAAGGUAGAGGGGGACGCUUCAUUCUUUUUUCUAGAUUAUCUUCAUAAUGAGAAAACUAUUUUUAAAAAAAAAAGUUUGACAGCCCUUUUUUGGCUUCCGUAGAUGUUUCCAAUAUAUAUUUGUUUAGCAUUUUAGGCAUUUUCAAAUGGUAGCACCACAGUACAUUACAUUUUUGUUAGAGUAGUUCUAAGCCCGCUUAUCUAAUGAAUGUUCAACAACUGUAUAAUUACCUUGAAUGUUUGUUCCUUCUUGGGCAAAAUAAAUGUUUACAGACA